GGGGCCGUGGCCAAGUGGCUAAGGCGCGGGAUUGCAAAUCCCGUAUUCGUGGGUUCGAAUCCCACCGGCCCCU
Molecule: transfer RNA, 73 nt
Filed under: Fuerstiella marisgermanici
Lineage: Bacteria; Pseudomonadati; Planctomycetota; Planctomycetia; Planctomycetales; Planctomycetaceae
Description: Fuerstia marisgermanicae tRNA
Rfam family: tRNA
About the family: Transfer RNA (tRNA) molecules are approximately 80 nucleotides in length. Their secondary structure includes four short double-helical elements and three loops (D, anti-codon, and T loops).
Source: Rfam by way of RNAcentral